Molecule: regulatory RNA element, 120 nt
Rfam family: PyrR binding site
About the family: This family represents the PyrR binding site and terminator structure. This RNA structure is found upstream of a variety of genes involved in pyrimidine biosynthesis and transport.
Source: Rfam
ACACCUUUUAACGAAAAGUCCAGAGAGGCUUACAAGGGUGGACGGGCACGGACAAAGCAACCUUUUGGUUUUGUCCUGCCUUCUCACACCCUGAAACCGGAUUUCAGGGUGUUUUUUUGC